This 699-nucleotide ribosomal RNA is filed under the name Neofusicoccum sp. JA-S. Its description in RNAcentral is "eukaryotic LSU rRNA". The stretch from base 474 to 699 matches the Rfam family "Eukaryotic large subunit ribosomal RNA", at positions 1 to 226 of the family's 3401-position model. The record is from RNAcentral. Lineage: Eukaryota; Fungi; Ascomycota; Dothideomycetes; Botryosphaeriales; Botryosphaeriaceae.
GGCUCGACUCUCCCACCCAAUGUGUACCUACCUCUGUUGCUUUGGCGGGCCGCGGUCCUCCGCACCGGCGCCCUUCGGGGGGCUGGCCAGCGCCCGCCAGAGGACCAUAAAACUCCAGUCAGUGAACUUCGCAGUCUGAAAAACAAGUUAAUAAACUAAAACUUUCAACAACGGAUCUCUUGGUUCUGGCAUCGAUGAAGAACGCAGCGAAAUGCGAUAAGUAAUGUGAAUUGCAGAAUUCAGUGAAUCAUCGAAUCUUUGAACGCACAUUGCGCCCCUUGGUAUUCCGAGGGGCAUGCCUGUUCGAGCGUCAUUUCAACCCUCAAGCUCUGCUUGGUAUUGGGCCUCGUCCUCCACGGACGCGCCUUAAAGACCUCGGCGGUGGCGUCUUGCCUCAAGCGUAGUAGAAAACACCUCGCUUUGGAGCGCACGGCGUCGCCCGCCGGACGAACCUUUGAAUUAUUUCUCAAGGUUGACCUCGGAUCAGGUAGGGAUACCCGCUGAACUUAAGCAUAUCAAUAAGCGGAGGAAAAGAAACCAACAGGGAUUGCCUUAGUAACGGCGAGUGAAGCGGCAAUAGCUCAAAUUUGAAAGCUGGCCCCUUCGGGGUCCGCGUUGUAAUUUGUAGAGGAUGAUUCGGCGAGGGCUCCCGUCUAAGUCCCUUGGAACAGGGCGUCAUAGAGGGUGAGAAUCCCGUAU